UACUCGAGUGGCGAACGGGUGAGUAACACGUGGGUGAUCUGCCUUGCACUUCGGGAUAAGCCUGGGAAACUGGGUCUAAUACCGGAUAGGACCAUGCUUUAGUGUGUGUGGUAGAAAGUUUUUUCGGUGCAAGAUGAGCCCGCGGCCUAUCAGCUUGUUGGUGGGGUAAUGGCCUACCAAGGCGACGACGGGUAGCCGGCCUGAGAGGGUGUACGGCCACAUUGGGACUGAGACACGGCCCAG
RNAcentral lists this ribosomal RNA (243 nucleotides) under uncultured Actinomycetales bacterium. RNAcentral's name for it is "partial 16S ribosomal RNA". It matches the Rfam family "Bacterial small subunit ribosomal RNA", at positions 88 to 334 of the family's 1533-position model. Lineage: Bacteria; Bacillati; Actinomycetota; Actinomycetes; Actinomycetales. The record is from RNAcentral.